CGAAAGCCUGACGGAGCAACGCCGCGUGUGGGAAGAAGGCUCUUGGGCUGUCAACCACUUUUCUCAGGGAAGAAGUCCUGACGGUACCUGAGGAAUCAGCCUCGGCUAACUCCGUGCCAGCAGCCGCGGUAAUACGGAGGAGGCAAGCGUUAUUCGGAAUUAUUGGGCGUAAAGCGUCCGCAGGCGGCUAAUUAAGUCUGCUGUCAAAGCCCACAGCUCAACUGUGGAUCGGCGGUGGAAACUGGUUAGCUUGAGUGCGGUAGGGGUAGAGGGAAUUCCCGGUGUAGCGGUGAAAUGCGUAGAGAUCGGGAAGAACAUCGGUGGCGAAAGCGCUCUACUGGACGGCAACUGACACUCAGGGACGAAAGCUAGGGGAGCG
Molecule: ribosomal RNA, 379 nt
Filed under: uncultured cyanobacterium
Lineage: Bacteria; Bacillati; Cyanobacteriota
Description: bacterial SSU rRNA
Rfam family: Bacterial small subunit ribosomal RNA
Source: RNAcentral